UGGGGAAUCUUCCGCAAUGGGCGAAAGCCUGACGGAGCAACGCCGCGUGAGUGAAGACGGCCUUCGGGUUGUAAAACUCUGUGAUUCGGGACGAAAGAUAAGCAGACGAAUAAUCUGCAUAAGUGACGGUACCUAACCAGAAAGCCACGGCUAACUACGUGCCAGCAGCCGCGGUAAUACGUAGGUGGCAAGCGUUGUCCGGAAUUAUUGGGCGUAAAGCGCGCGCAGGUGGUUUAGAAAGUCUGAUGUGAAAGCCCACGGCUCAACCGUGGAGGGUCAUUGGAAACUAAUAAACUUGAGUGCAGGAGAGAAAAGUGGAAUUCCUAGUGUAGCGGUGAAAUGCGUAGAGAUUAGGAGGAACACCGGUGGCGAAAGCGGCUUUUUGGCCUGCAACUGACACUGAGGCGCGAAAGCGUGGGGAGCAAACAGG
This 430-nucleotide ribosomal RNA is filed under the name Verrucomicrobiota bacterium. Its description in RNAcentral is "Verrucomicrobia bacterium partial 16S ribosomal RNA". It matches the Rfam family "Bacterial small subunit ribosomal RNA", at positions 355 to 776 of the family's 1533-position model. Lineage: Bacteria; Pseudomonadati; Verrucomicrobiota. The record is from RNAcentral.